GCCGGAUUAGCUCAGUUGGUAGAGCAGCGGUUUUGUAAACCGAAGGUCACGGGUUCAAAUCCUGUAUCCGGCACCA
Molecule: transfer RNA, 76 nt
Filed under: Burkholderiales bacterium
Lineage: Bacteria; Pseudomonadati; Pseudomonadota; Betaproteobacteria; Burkholderiales
Description: tRNA-Thr
Rfam family: tRNA
About the family: Transfer RNA (tRNA) molecules are approximately 80 nucleotides in length. Their secondary structure includes four short double-helical elements and three loops (D, anti-codon, and T loops).
Source: RNAcentral